Molecule: ribosomal RNA, 253 nt
Filed under: uncultured bacterium
Lineage: Bacteria
Description: partial 16S ribosomal RNA
Rfam family: Bacterial small subunit ribosomal RNA
Source: RNAcentral
UACGUAGGGUGCGAGCGUUGUCCGGAAUUAUUGGGCGUAAAGAGCUUGUAGGCGGUUUGUCGCGUCUGCUGUGAAAAUCCGGGGCUCAACCCCGGACUUGCAGUGGGUACGGGCAGACUAGAGUGUGGUAGGGGAGACUGGAACUCCUGGUGUAGCGGUGAAAUGCGCAGAUAUCAGGAGGAACACCGAUGGCGAAGGCAGGUCGCUGGGCCACUACUGACGCUGAGAAGCGAAAGCAUGGGGAGCGAACAGG